This is a small nuclear RNA of Rattus norvegicus (Norway rat), 139 nucleotides long. Ensembl annotates it as U4 spliceosomal RNA. The record is from Ensembl. Lineage: Eukaryota; Metazoa; Chordata; Mammalia; Rodentia; Muridae.
AGCUUUGCGCAGUGGCAGUAUCGUAGCCAAUGAGGUUUAUCCGAGGCGCGAUUAUUGCUAAUUGAAAACUUUUCCCAAGGGGGGAAGGUGUAGCUUCAUGUUUGAACAGCACAGUUACUAUUACAUUCCACUAAAGUGU